Long non-coding RNA from Homo sapiens (human), 322 nucleotides. NCBI's taxonomy places the organism in Eukaryota, Metazoa, Chordata, Mammalia, Primates, Hominidae. The record is from Ensembl.
GUACAGGCGGAAGCGGACAGCACAGGCAGCCACAUCUCUGGGCUCCAGCUUGGCAAAGGCAACUGAAGGAGCUCCUCACUUGGGUACUGUUAAUACCACUAAUCCAUCUGACCUUCCUGCAAGAUGUCACUGAACGGAAACUCUGGGACCGGGACACGGAAAUCUCAAAUUGUUUGAUCACCUCCUCGUCACUGUCAGAAGAUGUGGACAGCUCUUCGUCAUCCCCAAAGCUGUUGACUGGGAGUAAACAAGAGCCAUGAGUCUCCUGUGUGGCCUAUAUGCUCGAAUACAGAGAUAGACUCUCCAGGAAAACAGAAGAGAA